GACGAACGCUGGCGGCGUGCUUAACACAUGCAAGUCGAACGGUAAGGCCCUUCGGCGUUCACGAGUGGCGAACGGGUGAGUAACUCGUGGGUGAUCUGCCCUGCACUUCGGGAUAAGCCUGGGAAACUGGGUCUAAUACCGGAUAGGACCACUUCCUGCAUGGGUGGUGGAGGAAAGCUUUUGCGGUGUGGGAUGUGCCCGCGUCCUAUCAGCUUGUUGGUGGGGUGAUGGCCUACCAAGGCGACGACGGGUAGCCGGCCUGAGAGGGUGACCGGCCACACUGGGACUGAGAUACGGACCAGACUCCUACGGGAGGCAGCAGUGGGGAAUAUUGCACAAUGGGCGCAAGCCUGAUGCAGCGACGCCGCGUGAGGGAUGACGGCCUUCGGGUUGUAAACCUCUUUCAGCACCGACGAAGCGCAAGUGACGGUAGGUGCAGAAGAAGGACCGGCCAACUACGUGCCAGCAGCCGCCGCCG
RNAcentral lists this ribosomal RNA (478 nucleotides) under uncultured bacterium. RNAcentral's name for it is "partial 16S ribosomal RNA". It matches the Rfam family "Bacterial small subunit ribosomal RNA", at positions 28 to 523 of the family's 1533-position model. The record is from RNAcentral.